Molecule: long non-coding RNA, 315 nt
Filed under: Capra hircus (goat)
Lineage: Eukaryota; Metazoa; Chordata; Mammalia; Artiodactyla; Bovidae
Description: lncRNA (ENSCHIG00010015215.1)
Source: RNAcentral
GUUUACUUAAAUAAACUAUACAGGAAACAUUAUUGUCUUUGUGAAAGCAAUUGUAAAACUCGGUAAACUAAUGACCCUAAGAUAGCGCAUGGCCAAAGGAUGAGAACGCAUUGUCUUCCCUCCUUCUCGAUGAGGGCUCCAAGUCCACUCUGAGCUCCAGCGGACCACAGAGCCUGCAGGUGGAAUACACUAGGGACCCUGAGUUUUCAUUGAAUCGGUGACAACAUGAUUUGACUAACUGGAUAAUCAAGUUAUUAUUCAAGGUAUUACCUCUUUAUACUACAAUUUUCUCAUCUAUAGAAGUGGUGGACUAGA